GGCGAACGCUGGCGGCGUGCUUAACACAUGCAAGUCGAACGGAAAGGCCCUGCUUUUGUGGGGUGCUCGAGUGGCGAACGGGUGAGUAACACGUGAGUAACCUGCCCUUGACUUUGGGAUAACUUCAGGAAACUGGGGCUCAUACCGGAUAGGAGCUCCUGAUGCAUGGUGGGGGUUGGAAAGUUUCGGCGGUUGGGGCUGGAAUCGCGGCUUAUCAGCUUGUUGGUGGGGUAGUGGCUUACAAAGGCUUUGACGGGUAGCCGGCCUGAGAGGGUGACCGGCCACAUUGGGACUGAGAUACGGCGCAGACUCCUACGGGAGGCAGCAGUGGGGAAUAUUGCACAAUGGGCGGAAGCCUGAUGCAGCAACGCCGCGUGCGGGAUGACGGCCUUCGGGUUGUAAACCGCUUUCGCCUGUGACGAAGCGUGAGUGACGGUAAUGGGUAAAGAAGCACCGGCUAACUACGUG
This 468-nucleotide ribosomal RNA is filed under the name uncultured bacterium. RNAcentral describes it as "partial 16S ribosomal RNA". It matches the Rfam family "Bacterial small subunit ribosomal RNA", at positions 28 to 507 of the family's 1533-position model. The record is from RNAcentral.